CACACCAGGACAAAGGGGUCCUACCUAGACGCCCUUCCACUUGCCCAUCUAAUCCCAAACACUCUAUGCACACUGCCACUUUCACCAUCCCAUAUCCACACUUCGCAGAGACACCUGCAAAAACACUUCCAAUGCAAGACUCAGCCACAACUGAGCCUCAGAGUGUGACAUCUAGGGGACACGUUGACAACCACAGGAGAAACCAAAGAGGUGGGUAAAGAACCAGGAGAGGAGACUCCAGAGAAAGGUCAAGACCCGGGGGCAGGCACCAAAAAAGAGAUGAGAACGGCAAACUUUGCCCUUUCGCAGCCUAAAGUCCUCCAAGUAAAUGUCAGAAGCCAGCAAAUGCCCUGGGGAGCUGAUACGGAGCCCUGACUCAUCUCUGGAGGAGCAGAAGAGGUUAAUCAGAAAUCUGUGCAAGUAGAACAAGGGGUCGGAAGACUGAUCUAGCUACACGGGAGGCCAAGGUGACGCUGAGGGACUCACUCACAGAUGCUGAGGGCUCAGCAGGGUCUGCACGGGGUCUAAGGAACCCAGCGCCGAAGCCAUUCUGCGUUGCUCAAGCACUCCGCGGACACACGCUCGGCUGUCACAUCCUGGAGAUGUUCAUUAUCCCGGGAGGAUGUUUAUCAGAAGAGAAUUUCAAAAAGAAUAAGUAACUUUUCAGUAAAUGUCUUCAAUUAAACUCCCGCCUUAAGGCAACUGUUGAACUUUCCCCAAUGUUGGAGGAUACAUUUGACGACAUGAAAUGUUCCUAUUUUCCAAAGUUUUCAUCUACCAAGUCGUUCAUGUACGGUUUAGCACUGUUAAUUUAAGUUCACUCCUCAAAGUAAUAGAUUCUAUGACAGAAGAUUCUUGGUCCUAAAUUUCUGAUUCAAAAAUGGGAAAAAUUUCCAAGAUAUAAAAGAUAAAGAUAUUCACCAGUAUUCCAGUUAAAUGUAUAACAUAAUAGAACAAUAUGAGUAAUCAUUGAGUCGCCUUUUCCAGAUGUGUCAGAGAAAACCUCCUCUGACUAUAAUGCCCAUGGAAAAUCACCUUAAUUCCAGAAAGUGGGGGCUGACGGGACACACUGUUGAGAGGGGGUCUGUUGGGUGCACAGGAAUCAUGUCUUUCAAAGAGCACCAGGUGCAGAAGCCAUGGCAAGGCCCCCGGACUCAAGUGGAAAGAAGAGGAGCAAACGUGUUCCCAAGCCCAUGUUGAGACAUCACCAUUCCAAGGACACCCAGAAAUAGCUGGGGAGGAAUUUAAGAAGACAAGAGAAACAUGGGGUUAAGAUCUUGCCAAGCAAGUGAAGAUUUGGAGACAUGGAGCUAUGCAUUGACAUUCAUGAACUUAUUUACACUUAUGAACUCCUGAAACCUAGGAGAGGUUGAAAAAUUGCAAAUCCACUUGCUCCUUCUCCGCACCCAGGCUCCGCUUCUAAGUUACUGCCAACUGCUCAUGGCUGAAAGCCCACAUCCACUUCCAUCCUUCAUCAGCCACAUCAGGCUGCUAGUUUUCUUGGCCCUCCAACUGCCCACCUACUCCUCCCUGCCUGGAUUGGUUUUCAGACACUUGGACUUCAGUGAUCUGCCUUUUCUUCUGAACACUGGACUCUGCUCUCCCAUCAGAAUUUUUGAUACUCCCAUUGUGUUAUCAUCAAAAAUAUGUAUUUGGGCCAGAUGCAGUGGCUCACACCUGUAAUUGCAACAGUUUGGGAAGCUGAUGCGGGAGGAACCCUUGAUGCCAGGAAUUUAAGACCAGCCUGGACAACAAAGGGAGACCCCAUCUGUACAAAAAAUGCAAAAAAAAAUUACCCAGAUCCAACAUUCUGCUGCUGCCAGGUGUUGAGGAAAUGCACACACCCUCAUGAGAGAGACAUAAACCGUCACAGAGCCUCAGAACAUCUAUGCAAACUUAACAAGAUUCUCCAGGGAUUGGGACCUCAUGUUUGUUAAUGUCUUGGGAUAUGGAGAUAUGUUAACCUGCUAUGAACUCUGUAUAACACAUAAAGACUUAUACUUAUUUCAGCAUAAUCUUGUCUCAGCCUCUGACCUGUUCUCUAAGGAGGAAACAAUUAAGGCAUUUCAAGUGCCAGGCAGAAGAAAUGGAGCCCAGGCAUCUCCUCCUCUGAUGAGAGCCCAGGAAGAUUCCUUUUCCGUGUAGUUUCUGUAGAGAUUAGUGAAAUCACGACAUCAAGACAAUUUGGAAUAAUAAAAUAUGGUGAAUUUGGCUGAUUAAAAAUAAAUCUUGAUGUCUUCUUUUGGUUCCUUCUCUUGAAGACUAAAGUUUUUUUUUUUUUUUAUCUUCGGAAAAAUGUCUUUUAUCAACACUCAGGAAAAACUGCAAUCUCUUAAUGGUAAUUUCCUUUCACUCGGACAAGUUCUUCUGAGUUUUCCUCCUUUGUUAAGGUGAGAACACUUAUUAUUAAUAUUUUAUGGUUUCUGAGAAAGGAAUGCUUAGACAUGUGGCUGGAUAAAAAUAUAUGUGAUAUUGCUAUUUCUGGAAAUUUAUCUGCCUUUAUUUGUGACUAAGUGCCUGGAAGUACUAAAGAAUGAUGUUACAGAGG
This is an RNA transcript of Pongo pygmaeus (Bornean orangutan), 2548 nucleotides long. RefSeq lists it as uncharacterized. NCBI's taxonomy places the organism in Eukaryota, Metazoa, Chordata, Mammalia, Primates, Hominidae. The transcript has 4 exons. The record is from RefSeq and is a predicted model, not a curated record.